UUAGAGCAUGAUUAUCGCCAACUCCCCCUAAUGAGUUUCUUAAAAAUAUUUUAAUAAUAAAUUUGGGCUAGAAAGUUUAUUAAGAAACCCUAUAUAUUGUGAGGUCCAUUGGUAGAGUUUAUCACGACCACUGUUUACCAAAAUCGAUCGCAAUUGAAAUAGAGAGAAGAUAGAGAGAUCUGGGAAACAGAACACUGAGAAACGUAUUUCUUCAGCAGAGACCGAUCUCGUUUGCCUUCUCCUCCACCUCUUGGAGGAUAAAUCUCACCAUUUUCUGGAUCUACCUCAACACAUCUCCGUCUUUCAGCUUUACCGGAAAUCUGCAAUCGCCGUUUGAUCAAAGGUUGCAGAGAUUUGGGGAAAUCCAGAAUUCUGUGGCGCAGGAAAUUGGAGAGAGAAACGUAGAGGUAAAAACAAUUGUGUCAAAGAAAAUUGAAGUCCAAGGAUUUUUUUUCUGAGGAAGAAAAAGAAAUGGUCGAGAUAAAAAAAAAUUAUCCAAGAAAAUUUGGUCGAUGCUGCUUGAACCAAUGGGAGCCUGCCACAACAUCUCUUAGAAUCGAUUCUUAAUGUACCCAAAUAAGGAUCAAUCCUUGUGUUUUAACCAUUUUUUAAAUUAAAAAAAAAACCCAUUAAAGUUUAAAAAAUCUAACAAGAAACUAGCAAUAAAGAUGGUCUUAGAGCAUGUUUAUCAAAGAAACAUUAAUUGGUUUCUUCUUUAUUAUUAUAUUAGUAAAAUUGGAAUAAGAAACUAAGAAGAAACUCAUGUUUUUUUUAGGUACAUUGGAGAAACUGUGAUGAAUUUCUUAAAAAAAUUUAAUUAAAAAAAGAUUGAUUAUUGAAAAUGAAAUUGUUAAUAUUACAUUUAUUAUAAUUUGAAAACAUUACAAACUUAACAGAAUAUUGAAACAACACAAUUUUAACAAUUAAACUUAAUUACGCACUAAGUGACCAAACUUUUGCCAUAUAUGAUCAACCAAAUCCUUACAUGACACUUAAUUAAAACAACAACAAACUUGACAUAGAGAACAUAGGAACUUGACUCAAACUCGACACAAAAUGGA
Molecule: long non-coding RNA, 1061 nt
Filed under: Eutrema salsugineum
Lineage: Eukaryota; Viridiplantae; Streptophyta; Magnoliopsida; Brassicales; Brassicaceae
Description: long non-coding RNA (ESAL_LNC000474)
Source: RNAcentral